CAGCCGCCGCGGUAAUACGAAGGGUGCAAGCGUUAAUCGGAAUUACUGGGCGUAAAGCGUGCGUAGGCGGUGAGUUAAGUCUGCUGUGAAAUCCCCAGGCUCAACCUGGGAAUGGCAGUGGAUACUGGCUCGCUAGAGUGUGUCAGAGGAUGGUGGAAUUCCCGGUGUAGCGGUGAAAUGCGUAGAGAUCGGGAGGAACAUCAGUGGCGAAGGCGGCCAUCUGGGACAACACUGACGCUGAGGCACGAAAGCGUGGGGAGCAAACAGGAUUAGAUACCCCCGUAGUCCCUGUCUCUUAUAC
This 301-nucleotide ribosomal RNA is filed under the name uncultured bacterium. Its description in RNAcentral is "partial 16S ribosomal RNA". It matches the Rfam family "Bacterial small subunit ribosomal RNA", at positions 509 to 807 of the family's 1533-position model. The record is from RNAcentral.